RNAcentral lists this unclassified non-coding RNA (1698 nucleotides) under Hevea brasiliensis (rubber tree). Lineage: Eukaryota; Viridiplantae; Streptophyta; Magnoliopsida; Malpighiales; Euphorbiaceae. The record is from RNAcentral.
UGUACUUGUUUAAACUCGUGUCAGUUCUUAAUAAGCAGGCCUUAAAGAUGUGUUUCAUAUUGCUGAUAUAUGACUUCUGAUGAUUAAAGAACUAUUUUAAAUAUGUUAAUUAAAAGUAACAGAAAAAUUAUUUCUUAAGAUUGGUUUUGACAUUUUAGAAAGAUUCUUUUCUUUAUUUAUUAUUAUUAUUUUAAAAUAAGCAGUUUCAAUAAAUACUUUGAGGUUUCAUAUCCCCGUGUUCUCAAAGGAGAAGAAAUUUCCUGGACUUGUUUUCAGCAUAUGGGGAAUGGUUCUGACAGAAUCUAUUAUCAAUUUUUAACAUUUUGUUAGCUCAGUAAACAUGUGGGAUUUGAAUUUAUUAUUGAUGCAGAAUCAAACAAGCUAAAUUCAGUUUUGUAUAAGAUAAAAUUAUGAAUAUGGUUUAGCAAACAUGCAAUACAGGGUUCCAAGUGCUGAUCCAGGCAGUAGAACAGCUGAUUCAAAAUAAACCUUCUGAAAAGAUGACUUCAGAGCAAUUGGUCUGGUUGUACGCAAUCAUGCUGACGGCUACUGGAGUUAAACUUGUCUUAUGGUUUUACUGUAGAAGUUCAGGGAAUGAGAUUGUUCGUGCAUAUGCAAAGGUUUGAUGCUAAAUGCAAUCUUUAACCUCAUAAUCAUUUGGUUCUAAUGCUUGUGCUAUUGUGAUUUGUUGUUCACCAGGAUCAUUAUUUUGAUGUGGUCACCAAUGUAAUUGGAUUGGUAGCUGCUGUUCUUGGAGAUAAAUUUUAUUGGUGGAUUGAUCCAGCUGGUGCUCUCCUCCUGGCAAUAUAUACAAUUUCAAAUUGGUCUGGAACCGUACUGGAAAAUGCAGUUUCCCUGAUUGGACAGUCAGCACCUCCUGAGGUCCUGCAAAAACUUACAUAUCUAGUCCUUAUGCACCAUCCUCGAAUCAAACGAGUUGACACAGUUCGUGCUUAUACCUUCGGAGUUCUUUACUUUGUUGAGGUUGAUAUUGAGCUGCCAGAGGAUUUGCCACUCAAGGAAGCCCAUGCUAUUGGAGAGUCAUUGCAGAUAAAGAUCGAAGAACUUCCCGAAGUCGAAAGGGCAUUCGUUCAUCUAGAUUAUGAGUGCAACCACAAACCAGAGCAUUCUGUUCUUAACAGGCUCCCCAAUAACCUUGAUUGAUUUUGAAGUUUCCCACAUUCUAUAUCUUCCUCUAAUGUGUCAAACACAGUCCUUUUUUCAGAAGAAAUAAUCCCUUUUCUUGUUUUGGUAUCAGAGGAUGUGAGUUGGAAUGAAAAAACAAAACAAUAUAGUCCUAAUUAAGAGACAUCAACAGUCAAAUCCAGAAAAGUUUUUAUGUCUGUAAGGACUUUAUUUGGGUCGUUCUGUUGGUUUUGUUUGUAGUCUGAUUGCUUCUUCUGCGUCCUAAGACUUCAAUCUCUUCAAGUUUAGAAUUGUAAAUUACUCCAUUUUGAGCAGAACAGAGGCACAACAAUCAACAUUCCUCUAGAGAUCUCGAAUGAAGAUGAAAAUGAAAUGGAGGAUGAGACGCAUUAUGUUUAAUUGAACUGUUGCAGAUGUUAUUGGCUACUGUUAUUCAAUGAAAGAACUUGGCCAAUUAGUUUCAACUUCAUGGUAUAAGGCUGUGAGAUCUCAAAUUAGAUCUUGGCCGAAGCUCAAUUUGAAAAAAAUGAAUAAGUUAUUUAUGGAACUUAG